UACAAAUUUGUGUGCUCAACUGCCUGUU
This 28-nucleotide non-coding RNA is filed under the name Bombyx mori (domestic silkworm). Lineage: Eukaryota; Metazoa; Arthropoda; Insecta; Lepidoptera; Bombycidae. The record is from RNAcentral.